UGGGGAAUAUUGGACAAUGGGGGCAACCCUGAUCCAGCCAUGCCGCGUGAGUGAUGAAGGCCUUAGGGUUGUAAAGCUCUUUCGCCGGUGAAGAUAAUGACGGUAACCGGUAAAGAAGCCCCGGCUAACUUCGUGCCAGCAGCCGCGGUAAUACGAAGGGGGCUAGCGUUGUUCGGAAUUACUGGGCGUAAAGCGCGCGUAGGCGGGUCAUUAAGUCAGGGGUGAUAUCCCGGGGCUCAACCUCGGUAUUGCCUUUGAUACUGGUGACCUCGAGUCCGAGAGAGGUGAGUGGAACUCCGAGUGUAGAGGUGAAAUUCGUAGAUAUUCGGAAGAACACCAGUGGCGAAGGCGACUCACUGGACAAGUAUUGACGCUGAGGUGCGAAAGCGUGGGGAGCAAACAGGAUUAGAUACCCGUGUAGUCC
RNAcentral lists this ribosomal RNA (424 nucleotides) under uncultured prokaryote. RNAcentral describes it as "bacterial SSU rRNA". It matches the Rfam family "Bacterial small subunit ribosomal RNA", at positions 355 to 796 of the family's 1533-position model. The record is from RNAcentral.